Molecule: ribosomal RNA, 109 nt
Filed under: Salmo salar (Atlantic salmon)
Lineage: Eukaryota; Metazoa; Chordata; Actinopteri; Salmoniformes; Salmonidae
Source: RNAcentral
GCUUACGGCCAUAUCAGCCUGGGUAUCGUCUGAUCUCGGAAGCUAAGCGGGUCGGGCCUGGUUAGUACUUGGAUGGGAGACCGCCUGGGAAUACCAGGUGCUGUAAGCA